GACGAACGCUGACGGCGUGCUUAACACAUGCAAGUCGAACGAAGUGGCGAACGGGUGAGUAACGCGUGAGUAACUGCCCCCCUCUCUGGGAUAACAGUUGGAAACGGCUGCUAAUACCGGAUAGUGGGGGAUGACUCGCGUCCUAUCAGCUUGUUGGUGGGGUAGUGGCCUACAAAGGCGACGACGGGUAGCCGGCCUGAGCGGGCGACCAGCAACAUUGGGCUGAGAUACGGCCCAAACUCCUACGGGAGGAAGCAGUGGGGAAUAUUGCACAAUGGGGGAAACCCUGAUGCAGAAACGCCGCGUGCGGGAUGACGGCCUUCGGGUUGUAAACCGCUUUCAGCCAUGACGCGGUAGUGGCAGAAGAAGCACCGGCUAACUACGUGCCAGCCGCCGCGGUAAUUC
RNAcentral lists this ribosomal RNA (405 nucleotides) under uncultured bacterium. RNAcentral describes it as "partial 16S ribosomal RNA". It matches the Rfam family "Bacterial small subunit ribosomal RNA", at positions 28 to 526 of the family's 1533-position model. The record is from RNAcentral.